This 253-nucleotide ribosomal RNA is filed under the name uncultured bacterium. RNAcentral describes it as "partial 16S ribosomal RNA". It matches the Rfam family "Bacterial small subunit ribosomal RNA", at positions 524 to 776 of the family's 1533-position model. The record is from RNAcentral.
UACGUAGGGGGCAAGCGUUGUCCGGAUUUAUUGGGCGUAAAGAGCUCGUAGGCGGUUCCGUAAGUCGGGUGUGAAAAAUCUGGGCUCAACCCAGUGGAGCACCCGAUACUGCGGUGACUCGAGUCCGGUAGGGGAGUGUGGAAUUCUUGGUGUAGCGGUGAAAUGCGUAGAUAUCAAGAGGAACACCUGCGGCGAAGGCGGGUUGCUGGGCCGACACUGACGCUGAGGCGCGAAAGCCAGGGGAGCGAACGGG